RNAcentral lists this ribosomal RNA (497 nucleotides) under uncultured bacterium. RNAcentral describes it as "bacterial SSU rRNA". It matches the Rfam family "Bacterial small subunit ribosomal RNA", at positions 384 to 873 of the family's 1533-position model. The record is from RNAcentral.
UGAUGCAGCCAUGCCGCGUGUGUGAAGAAGGCCUUCGGGUUGUAAAGCACUUUCAGUUGUGAGGAAAAGUUAGUAGUUAAUACCUGCUAGCCGUGACGUUAACAACAGAAGAAGCACCGGCUAACUCCGUGCCAGCAGCCGCGGUAAUACGGAGGGUGCGAGCGUUAAUCGGAAUUACUGGGCGUAAAGCGCACGCAGGCGGUUUGUUAAGCUAGAUGUGAAAGCCCCGGGCUCAACCUGGGAUGGUCAUUUAGAACUGGCAGACUAGAGUCUUGGAGAGGGGAGUGGAAUUCCAGGUGUAGCGGUGAAAUGCGUAGAUAUCUGGAGGAACAUCAGUGGCGAAGGCGACUCCCUGGCCAAAGACUGACGCUCAUGUGCGAAAGUGUGGGUAGCGAACAGGAUUAGAUACCCUGGUAGUCCACACCGUAAACGCUGUCUACUAGCUGUUUGUGACUUUAAGUCGUGAGUAGCGAAGCUAACGCGAUAAGUAGACCGCC